UCAGCCCUGUGUCCCAGGGUCAUCCCAGCACAGGAACAAUGACCCCUGUGAGCACCCCAGUCUUGGAGAAAGCCACACUUGAGUUCCUGCC
Molecule: long non-coding RNA, 91 nt
Organism: Myotis brandtii (Brandt's bat)
Lineage: Eukaryota; Metazoa; Chordata; Mammalia; Chiroptera; Vespertilionidae
Exons: 3
Source: RefSeq, a predicted model, not a curated record